Long non-coding RNA from Centrocercus urophasianus (Greater sage-grouse), 5921 nucleotides. RefSeq lists it as uncharacterized. The record is from RefSeq and is a predicted model, not a curated record. The transcript is spliced from 3 exons. NCBI's taxonomy places the organism in Eukaryota, Metazoa, Chordata, Aves, Galliformes, Phasianidae.
AAACAAACACAACCUACAUAAAUGGGGUGCGGACUACGUGGCUCAAGGACUCAGGAUGAUUAAAAGCAGGAGCCACACGGAGACAUCCAGAAAUGAUUGUUUUUAACAAGACAGGAACUUUGUCUGAAAACAGGAUGACCUGCUACAAAAGAUGCCAGCAAAUCCCCGUAGAGCUUUAGAAAAAACAAGCAGGCGCCUGAGUGUGCUUUAAAAAAAAAAAAUCCUGCCUGGUAAUAAAAAGGCAUGCAAGGGUAAACAGGAAAAGAGCACUCCACACUGCAAGCAGCCCAGAGGAGGAAAGGCUGGGAAGAGCGCUGAUCUGAAAACCUGAUAUGGAAACUGAAGGGAACAAUUUCUUCAUAUCCCUGGUAUAAACUCCCUGUGCAAACACAAUGUUGGGGCAGCUGUGAGCAGCGCUUCCCUACUGGUUUCACUGUGCCUUCCUUCCAGUCCUUUCCAGUGAAGGCUGUGGGACAGCAACAGGCGCUCCACAGGUGGUGUCGGUUUGCUUCAGUGGCCUCAAAGCAAUGUCAUUUCAGACUUCCACGAAAGAGCUUUUUCCUAGUGCAAAACUUUAUUUCCUGAAGGUAAAAUGACUGUAGUUCAGCCCACCUGUGCUUCAUUCACACAGCUCUCUCUCCCAGUUUUAGCAUGAAUCUCUUGACAUCUGUUGUGUUUUCCGCUAAACGUUGGCUCCGUAAGUCUUGCUGAAUUUUAAAAUCAAAUGCUGAUUUGAAGAAUUAGGAUACUGAUAGACUUCAUCAUGCUGACAACCCCUGCUUGUUGGCAGAAUCUGCAGACUCAGCUCCUAAGCAGUUUUCCCAUCACAGCCUGCCUGCCACCAGCUAGAGACCCAUGACAGCAGCCAUCAUGGUACAUACUGCGAACUCCUGUGCAGCAGCGAUCCCCUUUGUUGUGCUCCAAAGUCAAGCACUGCCUCAGCCCUGAAAUUACAGCCUGUCACAGCCUAUGCUAACAUGUGGCCAGAAGCAGCUUCUGCAGCAGCCGUACAACCCACGACUGGAAAAGGUCCAGCCCUCAGACACAAAAGGGCAGACCAGCGGUGUGGCUUCCUGCCGCUGCGUGGCGGCAGUUGGCCCUGCGGUGGCUCCUCCUGAAGGAGGGUCCUGAAGAAAUGCUGCAGUCCCAACGACUUCCAGAGCCUCACAGGAAUCAACGAGGCUGGAUACUCGUGGUGAUGGAAAUAUUAGAGACAGCGCAGGUGCAACUGCUUCUGAUUUUCACAGUGGGUUUAGCAUCCUUCCAGUCAGUCUACUAGGAAGAAGGCCGAAUCAGCCAUGGAUGGCAUAAGAACAACUGGGGAAGAGGAUGAGAAAACUGUGAAAGAGUUGCUGAGGGGACACCUGGGGACACUGGCAGUGUUUCGAGCCAGCUUCUGAAGAAAAUCUGGAAAAGUCUGACUGAAGCUGAAGUUGCUGCGUGAGGGGUAGAAGGAAACAAGGGUGCAUCCUUUUCCCCACAGUGAUGCCAUGGUAAAAGAUGACCAAUAACCAUACGGAGAAAGAACAUGCAAGAGACCAGCAGAGAAAGUGCUCAGUAAGGGAUCGAAAAUGCCAGGCCUUCAUAUGGUCCACUGACAACCUGACCAAGCUGUGUCCUGCAGGUGAUGUACAGCCCUGAGCAGGGAACAGCCAGGGCAUGCAUUUCAAGAUCGGGGUAUACGAAGCAGUACUUCACCUCCAGGCCUCAGUGGAGGACACAGAGCAGAGACAAUGUCAUGAUGGCAUGUAGCAGGCAUAGACACGAUUUUUCAUCAUGCUUGUUUACAGUGUGGCAGCUCAACUGGACUUGCUUAUUUAUGUUGUAUUGCAGUGUGCAAGUACUCAGCAAAGAGGAAGAUAUCCAAAACCAAGGUGAUAGUACAGGCUGCAGAUCAAGAGCAUGGUGAACUAAACAGGCUUUAAUAUUGCACUGCAGGACAGUAACUCCCAUGCUAAAUGAAAAAAAAGGUUAAAUUUGUAGGCAGCUGGCUUUAUAUACUCUAGGUAGGCCCACCACCUAGGAUAUUUAUAAACUCACUCAGUGGGUGACUGAGAGCAGAUCUGGGCCUGCCCAGGGCAGACUAGCUCUCCAGCAUUGCACUGGGGUGUGGUUACUGAGCUCAGUUUGGGUCACCCAACAGCAGUCCAAUCUCAGCCAGCCUUGCUGGGCAUAGCUCUACAUGCCUGUUCUGAAUGAAGUGUUCCAUUAGACCUGCUGGAGCCUGGGCAGCCUCCACUAGUUGUGGAUAAUACACAAUAAAAAGAAUGGGGUAGGCAGGGCAUGCAAGGAGAGAUUUUAUUCUCUUCCAUAAAGAAUCCAGACUACAGCUAAGCACCUGGAAACAUGCUCCUUGGGAUCUAAGUGUUGCAUCUAAAAUGCUAUGCUAUGACAGAGAGAAGUAGAAAAAAAGAUCAGUGACUUUGCAGAUGAAUGACCAUAGUACUAACAUGACAAAAUGAACUUUUAGGUUGCCAAAAUGGCAUUAUCUAAGCUUUCAAGGGUUGAUCAAUAAGAAUGCAAAAUCUCUUUCAAAUGAUGAGAAGGAGGGGUACUCAUCAGGAUUAAAGAACAGCUUUUGCUGGACUGGUGUUCCUGGCAGGUUACACCUGCUUCCCACUCCGUGCCUUGCUGCCACUCUGUCUGGAGCAACGUGCUUCUAACAAUAGCUGGUGGCUGGAAGGUACAGAGUGUGCUACACAGCUCGCUUCCUCUUCCUCCUGCCUGAUUGUUAUUGCAGAGCUCCCAGCAAGAAGGGCUCUUUAACACCAUUAAGUCACAAGAAACUGUGGCUUUGAUAGUCAGAGUCUGAUUUAAUGCAAUACCAAAUCAUAGAAAAACAUUUAAAGAGAGAAGAUGCCUUUCUCUGAGUGCUUUGUACUGUAAAGCUUCUGUAUAUACACAUACACUCACAUGCACACACAUCCUGGAGGUGUGUGUCCAGGAGGGAAAUCCUGCCUGCAUCGAAGUUAAUGACAAAUGCUCCCACUGACCUUGAGAGGGCAGGGUUUCAGGCACUGUCUGUGUAUGUGGGGGAUAUUGUGAAAGUGUUCAGGCAUGAUACGUCUGUAUUUUCUUGCUGUGAAGGACUGUGGGAGCCUGAGCAUACCAGCAACACACCAAAAUACAAAUGGAGAGCAAGAGAUUGUCCCAGGCAAGCCCCAGGAGUGCUGCCAUGCCUUCCUGCACCACGUGUUAUCUCCUGCAGCUUUGUCUGCAGGCUGUAGGAGCACCCUAUACAGUGACCUUACUCACCACCUGAGUCUUGGUGGAGUCUUGGUUUGCUUGCUUGUUUUUGGCUUGGUGAUUUUUUUGUGUGUGAUGCUUUCUUGUUUGUCUUUUUAACGUAUAUUGGGGUUAGUCUAAAAAUUGCACAGCUGCUUUCAUUACUCUGCUCUCAAAGUAGAUAGGAUAAUUUCUGAGGGCCAAUUAGAAGGUCAGCUGACCCUUGAAUAAGUAAUCAUUCAAUGAUUUCACUCUGCUUGAUUUUACCUUCAGUUACGUUUUUAGUGUGGCAGAAGGUCAAGAAAUCUACUUUAAAAGUAAUUCAGUGGUUAUGAUCUUCAAAACUCCCAUUUUAAUGCUGAUUGUAAUUCUAUUCCAGGGUUUUUUCUAAAAUCUGUUUUGAAUUUGUGCACCACUAAGCAUCGUUCAGUGAUAUUAUAGGUGGAAACAUAAGAUCCCAGAAUAAUGAACAUAAAUCUUGUUCUCUUGGAAUCCUUUUGUAGAUCUACUAAAGGUAAUUCACAGACUCACAGUUUAAAGACCUGCUUUAGUUUUUGUAGCUGUAAUGUGCCAAACUUGAGUGGCUAAUUUCGCAUCAGUCACAAAAUGCAGUAGGCCAGCCAUGUGACUUCCUUAAUGUAAAAUGCGUUUUGUAUUUAUGGGUUCUUCCUGUUUGUAACUAUCAUUUUGUAACAGCUGCAUUCUCAGUUUUGCUGCCCUGUGGCACAGCAAACACCACAAAGCAGAUCCCCAUGUCUGAAAGGCACUUCCUUCCCCCUUCAUCUUGACGGCACACAUCUGAGCCAAGGUUCCUCUGUGCAGAAUGGGGUUUGGUCCCAAUAUCGGGGCUCUCACUCCUGCUGGAAAGCACUGCACAUCCAUGGCUGGGAUCAGAUUUGGGGCAAUAUGCCAAGUUCUUUUGAGAAUUUGGGCCUGGCUGUAAAUGUCACAGCUGGUGGCUUCCCACUGCUGAAAAUCUGCUGCAAUAUUAUGGAUGAUGAGCAUUUGGAAAAUCUGGUGCUGAACACCAGUAGUCAAUAGAGUGAUGUAAAGGAGAGUGGGACAGGGCCCAGAGCUUCAGCACAGGGAAGCAGGAAUACAUUCAAUGUCAUAGACAGUGUCUGUGCAGGAUUCCAAAAAGAGCUCAAAGCCAGAGCCUUCCAGUAACACUGGACAAAUGCAUUCUCACUCCCAUGCAGAGCGGUGGCUGCUUGGACAUGUUCCAUGCUUCACUGAAGAGCUGGCAAUAUUGCAAAUUCCCAAAGAAGAAAAGCUGCUGAACCGCUUUAAAAUCAUUUUAAAGAUGUGUACAGACUCCUUUCAGAAAGUUAUGAUCAUCUAUUUUGUGUGUGUGUGUGUGUGAAUCUUCCCAUUUACUCUUCUUUGCAUACACUUUUCCUUCUCCCUUUGGAACACCAUUGUAUAUGGAAACCUGCAUAGCACAACAAUAAACAGCUGUGGAAAGCAGUCUAUAAAGACGUAAGGAGCAGUUGUUGUCACUGUACUAGCAAAGCAGUUUCUAUCAAAUUUACCUUCAAACCAGGCUCUCAGCUGCUCCCAAGCAUAUCAAGAUGAUCCCUGCAUGUGUUAGCAAUAUGCUACAGUGACAUACAUGUGUUCCUACGUAGCCUAUUCCAGCACAGGUUUCUUUGUUCAGAAUCACAUUAUGCAUGUGUUUGUUAUUCAUGUUUCUGCUUCCACAACUUUCCUUUGAUGUAAAUGUAACACAACUUUUUCAUCAUUAUUUGAAACAGAAACGUUGGGACAAAAGGAGCAUCAAAUAUAGGAAGUACUCAAUUACAUUUAGCCAAUGGUUUAUACCUUUUCUGUAUGUUAAAGCCAUCAGUAAUGUUUUUUCAGAAGAAAAAUGAAUGACUUGACUUUUGUUCAGACUACAGGCUUAGUGUAAGGGUCAGGCUGUGAUGCUGUGACACAGUGACUGCUCAAAGUCUGCCACAGAGGGUUUGUGUCAGGGGCAGGAGCAGAUUCACAUUGUCUUUUAGCAGUGCCAGACAUAUUUUUUUUUAAGAGAACUUUAGCUUUUAAGUGUCCUGCAAAUGCAAGUCCUCUGAAAAAUAAAUAUACAUCUUUGGAAAGUGACUGGAAAGAUGCUUAUGAGAGCUGGGAAAGAUGCUCAGUAUCAAUCUGUACUUUCCUCUUUAAGUGUUUCUGAGGCACGUCUUCACCUGCAAUUAACUCACAUGGCAUAUGAAGAUACACUCCUCUGUGCUUAACCUUUAAACAAAAUUUCUGUGAUUAUUGGCCUUCAUUCCCAGCGUGACUGUGAGAAAUGAGCAGGGCAGAUGGGAGCAGGCGUUCCCAGUUGAUGCUACAGAACACUUCUGUGAUGAUUUAAAUCCGUGUUAAACAAUAGCUUGUUCACAUUCAAUUGCAGAGCAUCCCAAGAUGCCGUAUGAGGCAGGGAAGAGAACCAAAAUUGCUUUUGCGGAGAUGCUAGGCGUAAUUAAAGGCUCAUGUCUGGAUCUUACAGCUAACAAACUGCUGUACAACAAGGGAAGUGGCUCCCUAAGUAGCUUUCUGCAAAACACUAAAUAUAGUGCUGUAACAAUAAAACCUAACCAUCCAGCUGCCAAAUGUAUUGUGCGCAUGUGGUACCGUGGACAUCAUGUCUGCCCUCUCCCCUCAAAUCCAUCCCCUUCUGCUGUUGGAAAAUAGCAAAAGUUCUGUCAAGAGCC